This 301-nucleotide ribosomal RNA is filed under the name uncultured bacterium. RNAcentral's name for it is "partial 16S ribosomal RNA". It matches the Rfam family "Bacterial small subunit ribosomal RNA", at positions 509 to 807 of the family's 1533-position model. The record is from RNAcentral.
CAGUCGCCACGGUAAUACGAAGGGGGCUAGCGUUGCUCGGAAUGACUGGGCGUAAAGGGCGCGUAGGCAGUUCGUACAGUCGGAUGUGAAAUUCCUGGGCUUAACCUGGGGGCUGCAUUCGAUACGUGCGGGCUUAAGUGUGGAAGAGGGUCGUGGAAUUCCCAGUGUAGAGGUGAAAUUCGUAGAUAUUGGGAAGAACACCGGUGGCGAAGGCGGCAACCUGGUCCUUGACUGACGCUGAGGCGCGAAAGCGUGGGGAGCAAACAGGAUUAGAUACCCCGGUAGUCCCUGUCUCUUAUAC